Molecule: ribosomal RNA, 327 nt
Filed under: uncultured eukaryote
Lineage: Eukaryota
Description: partial 18S ribosomal RNA
Rfam family: Eukaryotic small subunit ribosomal RNA
Source: RNAcentral
CCCUUAGAUGUUCUGGGCCGCACACGCGCUACACUGACGAAUGCAACGAGCUUAUAACCUUGGCCGAAAGGUCUGGGUAAUCUCCAAAUUUCGUCGUGAUGGGGAUAGAUUAUUGCAAUUAUUAAUCUUCAACGAGGAAUGCCUAGUAAGCGCAAGUCAUCAGCUUGCGUUGAUUACGUCCCUGCCCUUUGUACACACCGCCCGUCGCUCCUACCGAUUGAAUGGUCCGGUGAAGCGUUCGGACCGUGGCCUUUGGACGGUUCGCCGUCUGUUGGCUGCGGGAAGUUCGUUAAACCUUAUCAUUUAGAGGAAGGAGAANUCGUANCA